This 378-nucleotide ribosomal RNA is filed under the name uncultured prokaryote. RNAcentral's name for it is "partial 16S ribosomal RNA". The record is from RNAcentral.
CCCUAUGGGGUGCAGCAGGGGUAACCGGCGAGGAUAAAGAUAUUCUUUCCACCUUUAAAGAUACAAAGAUUAUCUAUGUUUUGAACAAGGUUGAUCUGAUCGACAAUAUAAAAGUCGAUGCUCUCAUAAAUGAAACCGGUUUUAACUUUAUUCCGGUAUCAGCAAAAUUCGGCAAUGGAUUCCGUGAGCUUGAAAAAGCGAUCUCAGAAAUCAUAAAUACUGAAUUUGUUGAUUAUGAUAAUUCAUUUCUUGCUGACGCAAGAAUUACCGGGAUACUUUCAGAUUCACUUAUUAUUAUUGAUCGGGUGAUUGAGCUUUUCGGUAGAAAAGAACUCCCUGAGAUUAUUGCUUUUGAUCUAAAUGAAUGGGCGGGGGAGC